Molecule: ribosomal RNA, 484 nt
Filed under: uncultured bacterium
Lineage: Bacteria
Description: partial 16S ribosomal RNA
Rfam family: Bacterial small subunit ribosomal RNA
Source: RNAcentral
AUUGAACGCUGGCGGCAGGCCUAACACAUGCAAGUCGAGCGGAUGAAGGGGGCUUGCUCCUGGAUUCAGCGGCGGACGGGUGAGUAAUGCCUAGGAAUCUGCCUGGUAGUGGGGGAUAACGUCCGGAAACGGGCGCUAAUACCGCAUACGUCCUGAGGGAGAAAGUGGGGGAUCUUCGGACCUCACGCUAUCAGAUGAGCCUAGGUCGGAUUAGCUAGUUGGUGGGGUAAAGGCCUACCAAGGCGACGAUCCGUAACUGGUCUGAGAGGAUGAUCAGUCACACUGGAACUGAGACACGGUCCAGACUCCUACGGGAGGCAGCAGUGGGGAAUAUUGGACAAUGGGCGAAAGCCUGAUCCAGCUAUGCCGCGUGUGUGAAGAAGGUCUUCGGAUUGUAAAGCACUUUAAGUUGGGAGGAAGGGCAGUAAGUUAAUACCUUGCUGUUUUGACGUUACCAACAGAAUAAGCACCGGCUAACUUCGUG